CGUGGGUAACCUGCCCAAGAGAUCGGGAUAACACCUGGAAACAGAUGCUAAUACCGGAUAACAACAGAUGAUGCCUAUCAACUGUUUAAAAGAUGGUUCUGCUAUCACUCUUGGAUGGACCUGCGGUGCAUUAGCUAGUUGGUAGGGUAACGGCCUACCGAGGCAUGAUGCAUAGCCGAGUUGANAGACUGAUCGGCCACAUUGGGACUGAGACACGGCCCAAACUCCUACGGGAGGCAGCAGCC
Molecule: ribosomal RNA, 245 nt
Filed under: uncultured Lactobacillus sp.
Lineage: Bacteria; Bacillati; Bacillota; Bacilli; Lactobacillales; Lactobacillaceae
Description: partial 16S ribosomal RNA
Rfam family: Bacterial small subunit ribosomal RNA
Source: RNAcentral